Long non-coding RNA from Diceros bicornis minor, 156 nucleotides. RefSeq lists it as uncharacterized. The transcript has 3 exons. Lineage: Eukaryota; Metazoa; Chordata; Mammalia; Perissodactyla; Rhinocerotidae. The record is from RefSeq and is a predicted model, not a curated record.
CGUGGACGUUUGCCCUCAGGGGCGAGGCGCGACACGAAAAGCAUCCGUGGAGCUCAAGUUUGAGGUGAAACCAGGCUCAGGGUCCACCUGUCCUCUCUGAUCCAUGGAUUUCUGUGUGACCAGAAUGACCCCUGCUCAGUAUUCCACAUCCCCAUG